AAUGUACAUUUAUAAAAUGGGGUAGAGUGAGACAGCUUAAGAGAAUCGUGAAUGUAGGUGCCAUUUCUAUUUUAAACAACUCUCAGAAACAUAUAUCAUAAGCAUCAUGCAAAGAGAUGGGAACAUAAGCAAGGACAGGAUAAAUCUAUGACAAAAUAGAUGAAUCAUAAAUUGAUGAACAUCAAAACUGAAAACUAAGUAAAGACCUAAAAAGAAAAAUAUAUAAAACAA
Long non-coding RNA from Telopea speciosissima, 231 nucleotides. RefSeq lists it as uncharacterized. Lineage: Eukaryota; Viridiplantae; Streptophyta; Magnoliopsida; Proteales; Proteaceae. The record is from RefSeq and is a predicted model, not a curated record. The transcript has 2 exons.